Molecule: ribosomal RNA, 228 nt
Filed under: uncultured bacterium
Lineage: Bacteria
Description: partial 16S ribosomal RNA
Rfam family: Bacterial small subunit ribosomal RNA
Source: RNAcentral
UCCGUAGGCGGGCAAUUAAGUCAGAGGUGAAAUCCCACAGCUCAACUGUGGAACUGCCUUUGAUACUGGUUGUCUUGAGUUACAGUGAAAUAGAUAGAAUAUGUAGUGUAGCGGUGAAAUGCAUAGAUAUUACAUAGAAUACCGAUUGCGAAGGCAGUCUACUAACUGUAUACUGACGCUAAUGGACGAAAGCGUGGGGAGCGAACAGGAUUAGAUACCCUGGUAGUC